UACGUUCCCGGGUCUUGUACACACCGCCCGUCACACCACGAGAGUUUACAACACCCGAAGUCGGUGGGGGAACCCGCAAGGGGCCCAGCCGCCGAAGGUGGGGUAGAUGAUUGGGGUG
This 118-nucleotide ribosomal RNA is filed under the name uncultured bacterium. RNAcentral describes it as "partial 16S ribosomal RNA". It matches the Rfam family "Bacterial small subunit ribosomal RNA", at positions 1367 to 1482 of the family's 1533-position model. The record is from RNAcentral.